Molecule: long non-coding RNA, 699 nt
Organism: Saccostrea cuccullata (small rock oyster)
Lineage: Eukaryota; Metazoa; Mollusca; Bivalvia; Ostreida; Ostreidae
Exons: 4
Source: RefSeq, a predicted model, not a curated record
GAGGAAGUUUUGGACUGAACUGUACUCAGUCAUGUGGUAUUCGAAAUUGCUUUAGAAAUAAACAAUGUCAUCACAUUAAUGGGACAUGCUUGAAUGGCUGCAAUAAAGGUUACCAAGGAGACACUUGUACACGAGUGUGCCCAAACAGAAGGUAUGGAUACAACUGCGAAGAAACCUGUACCAACUGUAGAAUUGUCAGGAGAUGUGAUACAAUAUCAGGGAAAUGUAACGUGUUUAAAGGAUCAUUAGAUUCUGAUACAAGUGAAGAAAACCUUUUUUUUUGUGUACGGAAUGAUAUCUUCUCUUUGCUCAAGUCUUGCCUUAAAUGUCAUUUUACUGAUCUGGAGCUGUAGAACGAAAACGCGCAAAGGACGGAAUCACCAGGAGAAAAAAACUACACAGAUACCUACAAAUUUGAAUACACAGAUCCAAGUUGAAGAACGUGAAGUACAUAUAUAUGACUCUCUGAAUCAAACAGAAAUAUCCACAGAUCAAACAAAUCGACAAUCCAUUUAUGACCAUUAACAUCUGAGUUAUGUUGCAGUAUUUAAUUAUGAGCCUUAUAUACAUUAUAUCUUCAAUGUAAACACUUUAUUUAUACAUAUAAGUGCUUGUGUUGAUUAAAACAAAGAAAGAAGAGAGCAUCCAAAUCUCAAAUUACAAAGCUGUCUGGGUAUCAAUGUUCAAACUGUUGUUUAU